RNAcentral lists this ribosomal RNA (298 nucleotides) under Streptomyces sp. SID9944. Its description in RNAcentral is "partial 23S ribosomal RNA". It matches the Rfam family "Bacterial large subunit ribosomal RNA", at positions 1 to 275 of the family's 2925-position model. The record is from RNAcentral. Lineage: Bacteria; Bacillati; Actinomycetota; Actinomycetes; Kitasatosporales; Streptomycetaceae.
ACAGUGGACGCGAGCAUCUGUGGCCAAGUUUUUAAGGGCGCACGGUGGAUGCCUUGGCACCAGGAACCGAUGAAGGACGUGGGAGGCCGCGAUAGUCCCCGGGGAGUCGUCAACCAGGCUUUGAUCCGGGGGUUUCCGAAUGGGGAAACCCGGCAGUCGUCAUGGGCUGUCACCCGCUGCUGAACACAUAGGCAGUGUGGAGGGAACGAGGGGAAGUGAAACAUCUCAGUACCCUCAGGAAGAGAAAACAACCGUGAUUCCGGGAGUAGUGGCGAGCGAAACCGGAUGAGGCCAAACC